GAUCAUGGCUCAGGACGAACGCUGGCGGCGUGCCUAACACAUGCAAGUCGAGCGAGUUGAUUCUCUUCGGAGAUGAAGCUAGCGGCGGACGGGUGAGUAACACGUGGGCAACCUGCCUCAUAGAGGGGAAUAGCCUCCCGAAAGGGAGAUUAAUACCGCAUAAGAUUGUAGCUUCGCAUGAAGUAGCAAUUAAAGGAGUAAUCCGCUAUGAGAUGGGCCCGCGGCGCA
Molecule: ribosomal RNA, 228 nt
Filed under: uncultured bacterium
Lineage: Bacteria
Description: partial 16S ribosomal RNA
Rfam family: Bacterial small subunit ribosomal RNA
Source: RNAcentral